This 31-nucleotide non-coding RNA is filed under the name Mus musculus (house mouse). The record is from RNAcentral. Lineage: Eukaryota; Metazoa; Chordata; Mammalia; Rodentia; Muridae.
UAUCAUGGUGAUUCUCAGGCUUCUGUCCCUG